AAUGGGAAGCCCGUGAGAGGA
RNAcentral lists this unclassified non-coding RNA (21 nucleotides) under Mus musculus (house mouse). Its description in RNAcentral is "oocyte_clustered_small_RNA10893". Lineage: Eukaryota; Metazoa; Chordata; Mammalia; Rodentia; Muridae. The record is from RNAcentral.